UGAGGAAGCACAUGUUGCAAAACCAGCAUACGGACAGGAUUUCAACAUCAGUCCACCAACUUCCUAAGAAACCUCAGUUCACCUAUACAGUUUUUUGAAUAUACAAAUGACGGUAGAUCUGACAUCAUCCGUGUUGGAACACACCCCGUCAGCAGUGCCAUUUAGGGCAAGAGCUGAAGAUAACUCUGAACUAGUGGAAACCAGAUGUAUGAGCAGCCCUCUUCACCCCUCUCCUCUUGCUUGUCCAGCCAGUCCGAGUUCACCAUCACCAAGUGUGAAUUUGGCAAUGUCCCCAAGGACACCAACAGCAAGCAUUGACCAGGAGGAUUCAAGCCUGACAAGAUAUGUCAGGUCAAUCCUAAUGAAACUGGACAAAAUUGAGCAGCAUCUUGAGGUCAUUAAUUUUGCAAUAAGCCAUGGCAUUACAUCUCAGGACCCUGAGAUCUUGGGGGACUUUGGAACACUA
Long non-coding RNA from Monopterus albus (swamp eel), 466 nucleotides. RefSeq lists it as uncharacterized. Lineage: Eukaryota; Metazoa; Chordata; Actinopteri; Synbranchiformes; Synbranchidae. The record is from RefSeq and is a predicted model, not a curated record. The transcript is spliced from 5 exons.